RNAcentral lists this ribosomal RNA (1521 nucleotides) under metagenome. RNAcentral describes it as "bacterial SSU rRNA". It matches the Rfam family "Bacterial small subunit ribosomal RNA". The record is from RNAcentral.
GAGUUUGAUCAUGGCUCAGAUUGAACGCUGGCGGCAGGCCUAACGCAUGCAAGUCGAACGGUAACAGGAAACAGCUUGCUGUUUCGCUGACGAGUGGCGGACGGGUGAGUAAUGUCUGGGAAACUGCCUGAUGGAGGGGGAUAACUACUGGAAACGGUAGCUAAUACCGCAUAACGUCGCAAGACCAAAGAGGGGGACCUUCGGGCCUCUUGCCAUCAGAUGUGCCCAGAUGGGAUUAGCUAGUAGGUGGGGUAACGGCUCACCUAGGCGACGAUCCCUAGCUGGUCUGAGAGGAUGACCAGCCACACUGGAACUGAGACACGGUCCAGACUCCUACGGGAGGCAGCAGUGGGGAAUAUUGCACAAUGGGCGCAAGCCUGAUGCAGCCAUGCCGCGUGUAUGAAGAAGGCCUUCGGGUUGUAAAGUACUUUCAGCGGGGAGGAAGGGAGUAAAGUUAAUACCUUUGCUCAUUGACGUUACCCGCAGAAGAAGCACCGGCUAACUCCGUGCCAGCAGCCGCGGUAAUACGGAGGGUGCAAGCGUUAAUCGGAAUUACUGGGCGUAAAGCGCACGCAGGCGGUUUGUUAAGUCAGAUGUGAAAUCCCCGGGCUCAACCUGGGAACUGCAUCUGAUACUGGCAAGCUUGAGUCUCGUAGAGGGGGGUAGAAUUCCAGGUGUAGCGGUGAAAUGCGUAGAGAUCUGGAGGAAUACCGGUGGCGAAGGCGGCCCCCUGGACGAAGACUGACGCUCAGGUGCGAAAGCGUGGGGAGCAAACAGGAUUAGAUACCCUGGUAGUCCACGCCGUAAACGAUGUCGACUUGGAGGUUGUGCCCUUGAGGCGUGGCUUCCGGAGCUAACGCGUUAAGUCGACCGCCUGGGGAGUACGGCCGCAAGGUAAAAACUCAAAUGAAUUGACGGGGGCCCGCACAAGCGGUGGAGCAUGUGGUUUAAUUCGAUGCAACGCGAAGAACCUUACCUGGUCUUGACAUCCACGGAAGUUUUCAGAGAUGAGAAUGUGCCUUCGGGAACCGUGAGACAGGUGCUGCAUGGCUGUCGUCAGCUCGUGUUGUGAAAUGUUGGGCUAAGUCCCGCAACGAGCGCAACCCUUAUCCUUUGUUGCCAGCGGUCCGGCCGGGAACUCAAAGGAGACUGCCAGUGAUAAACUGGAGGAAGGUGGGGAUGACGUCAAGUCAUCAUGGCCCUUACGACCAGGGCUACACACGUGCUACAAUGGCGCAUACAAAGAGAAGCGACCUCGCGAGAGCAAGCGGACCUCAUAAAGUGCGUCGUAGUCCGGAUUGGAGUCUGCAACUCGACUCCAUGAAGUCGGAAUCGCUAGUAAUCGUGGAUCAGAAUGCCACGGUGAAUACGUUCCCGGGCCUUGUACACACCGCCCGUCACACCAUGGGAGUGGGUUGCAAAAGAAGUAGGUAGCUUAACCUUCGGGAGGGCGCUUACCACUUUGUGAUUCAUGACUGGGGUGAAGUCGUAACAAGGUAACCGUAGAGGAACCUGCGGUUG